Molecule: ribosomal RNA, 373 nt
Filed under: Salmonella enterica
Lineage: Bacteria; Pseudomonadati; Pseudomonadota; Gammaproteobacteria; Enterobacterales; Enterobacteriaceae
Description: bacterial SSU rRNA
Rfam family: Bacterial small subunit ribosomal RNA
Source: RNAcentral
AAAUUGAAGAGUUUGAUCAUGGCUCAGAUUGAACGCUGGCGGCAGGCCUAACACAUGCAAGUCGAACGGUAGCACAGAGAGCUUGCUCUCGGGUGACGAGUGGCGGACGGGUGAGUAAUGUCUGGGAAACUGCCUGAUGGAGGGGGAUAACUACUGGAAACGGUGGCUAAUACCGCAUAACGUCGCAAGACCAAAGAGGGGGACCUUCGGGCCUCUUGCCAUCAGAUGUGCCCAGAUGGGAUUAGCUUGUUGGUGAGGUAACGGCUCACCAAGGCGACGAUCCCUAGCUGGUCUGAGAGGAUGACCAGCCACACUGGAACUGAGACACGGUCCAGACUCCUACGGGAGGCAGCAGUGGGGAAUAUUGCACAAU